GGGGCGCAGUCGUCAAAUGUCAAAUGCAGGAAUCAUGUAUGUUUAUGUGUCUUGAAAAGGCGCGAUUUUGUGUUUUGCAUAUUAGAAGUGUUAUUUCAUCAAAUCCAACAGCAAUUUGUGUCAUUCUCAUUUAUAAUAUAAUUAGUACUGCGCACACGUUGCCUAAACGUCUGCAUUGGGGUCAAAGGUAAAGGUUGCAAAAGUCUCUUACCAGUUCACAUCAGAAAAGUGAAAACCGAAAUGGGCGAAAACUAUUUGAGCGAGGAAAAAUUACAUGUAAUCUCCAGUAUAAUGCAAGCUGUUAUAUGUGAAGGUGAAUUGGUCCAUCUAGGAUUUCUAGGAAGUCUGCGAUUUGUAAUGUAUUGAAUGCUACUGAACGAAUGCGUUUAAGAUGCAAGAAUUUAAAAUCUUGAACAAAUGGCCAAGAGAAGGGAGAGCACACUACAAUAAAAUUAUAAAUAGUAAUGUAAUGAUGUUGUCUGUAGAAAGCAGUCUCAUUUGUUAACUGCUCAUGCAGAAUCUGUCUGAAAAUUAACUAAGACUACAAACCUUUCUUGGAAAUUCUGACUGUCAAGUAAAAAUGAAGUGUAAUUUGGUUUUUUAGUAUUCAUGGUCACUGUUUUAGAAAAACAUGAGUUUCCUAAGAAAGAAAUAUGUCAGUAACUUAUUUUUUGGACAGGUUAUAUGAAGACAGUAUAAACGAGAUUGUUAUUGUGUAAUUUACGUGGAAAAAGUGCUCGAAUUUAUUAUGAGUAGGCACGUUGGUGAUCAGUUGUGUAUAGUUGGUUGCAUACUUUCCCUUUAGAACAAGAUUUGUUUUGUACAUAUAACACUGACGAAUAAUUAAUAAGCAGAAUAUUUCUGAUUAAUGUAAUUAUGCAUCCCAACGAGAAUCACUGAAUCAAUUUUUAAACUAACAACAAUGUUGAUGAGUUUAUUUAAUAAAUAUAGUACUUUUGGUAGAACAGAAAAA
Long non-coding RNA from Zophobas morio, 973 nucleotides. RefSeq lists it as uncharacterized. Lineage: Eukaryota; Metazoa; Arthropoda; Insecta; Coleoptera; Tenebrionidae. The record is from RefSeq and is a predicted model, not a curated record. The transcript has 3 exons.